Molecule: ribosomal RNA, 467 nt
Filed under: uncultured bacterium
Lineage: Bacteria
Description: partial 16S ribosomal RNA
Rfam family: Bacterial small subunit ribosomal RNA
Source: RNAcentral
ACCAGACUCCUACGGGAGGCAGCAGUGAGGAAUAUUGGUCAAUGGGCGGGAGCCUGAACCAGCCAAGUCGCGUGAGGGAAGACGGUCCUAUGGAUUGUAAACCUCUUUAGGCGGGGAGCAAUGCCGGGCACGCGUGCCCGGAGGGAGAGUACCCGCAGAAUAAGCAUCGGCUAACUCCGUGCCAGCAGCCGCGGUAAUACGGAGGAUGCGAGCGUUAUCCGGAUUUAUUGGGUUUAAAGGGUGCGUAGGCGGACUGGAAAGUCAGCGGUAAAAUCGAGAGGCUCAACCUCUUUCCGCCGUUGAAACUGUCGGUCUUGAGUGGGCGAGAAGUAUGCGGAAUGCGUGGUGUAGCGGUGAAAUGCAUAGAUAUCACGCAGAACUCCGAUUGCGAAGGCAGCAUACCGGCGCCCGACUGACGCUGAGGCACGAAAGCGUGGGUAUCGAACAGGAUUAGAUACCCCGGUAGU